This 269-nucleotide ribosomal RNA is filed under the name uncultured archaeon. RNAcentral's name for it is "partial 16S ribosomal RNA". It matches the Rfam family "Archaeal small subunit ribosomal RNA", at positions 477 to 747 of the family's 1478-position model. The record is from RNAcentral.
CAGCACCUCAAGUGGUCAGGAUGAUUAUUGGGCCUAAAGCAUCCGUAGCCUGCUUUGUUAGUUUUCGGUUAAAUCCAUACGCUCAACGUAUGGGCUGCCGGGAAUACUGCAAAGCUAGGGAGUGGAGAGGUAGACGGUACUCGGUAGGAAGGGGUAAAAUCCUUUGAUCUAUUGAUGACCACCUGUGGCGAAGGCGGUCUACCAGAACACGUCCGACGGUGAGGGAUGAAAGCUGGGGGAGCAAACCGGAUUAGAGACCCGAGUAGUCC